Molecule: ribosomal RNA, 265 nt
Filed under: uncultured Lachnospiraceae bacterium
Lineage: Bacteria; Bacillati; Bacillota; Clostridia; Lachnospirales; Lachnospiraceae
Description: partial 16S ribosomal RNA
Rfam family: Bacterial small subunit ribosomal RNA
Source: RNAcentral
AAUGACGAGGUUUGUGACUGAGCGGCGGACGGGUGAGUAACGCGUGGGCAACCUGCCUCACACAGGGGGAUAACAGUUAGAAAUGACUGCUAAUACCGCAUAAGCGCACAGUAUCGCAUGAUACGGUGUGAAAAACUCCGGUGGUACAAGAUGGACCCGCGUCUGAUUAGCUGGUUGGUGAGGUAACGGCGCACCAAGCCGACGAUCAGUAGCCGACCUGAGAGGGUGACCGGCCACAUUGGGACUGAGACACGGCCCAAACUCC